This 753-nucleotide long non-coding RNA is filed under the name Pan troglodytes (chimpanzee). RNAcentral's name for it is "lincRNA". The record is from RNAcentral. Lineage: Eukaryota; Metazoa; Chordata; Mammalia; Primates; Hominidae.
GGCUGAAAGCAAUGAUGUUGCCAUUCAUCCUUUCACGUAUUCAUUAUGGUCUACAGCUGAGAAGGGCUAUUUGGGGUUUGCUUUGCCUGAUGGUAGCAGAAGAAAACCAAGAGGCCUCUCUACGAAAGCUUGCAGUAAGGAGAAAGUUCUGGAGACUGGGAAGAGCAACACAAAGAUAUUCAUUUGCUUGGUGAGAGCUGCUCUCUGCUUCCAAGGUAGCACCUUGUUGCUGCAUUCUCCAGUGGGAAGGAACGCUGGGUCCUCACAUGACAGAAGGUGGAAAGGGUUCUUUUCCUACUGGGGCUCUUAGAGGAUGCUGAGUAAAACUGGAAUCGAGCAGGAGUUUUAACAGCAAGGGGAAAAUGUUCCAGCCACUGUAGCUGGGAUACAUUGUAUUCCUCCUCAAGUCUACCAAAGAAAGACUUGAUUCUGAGAAAUCUCCCCAGAAAAUUGUCAGCUUCCCAGACUCUGCUUCCACAUGACCUGUGACAGACGUAAUUGGGCAUGGGCGAGGCGAUGCCACAGUGUGACUUUUUGCAUCUUCAGAAAGACACACAUAAACAGGAAGUCCUGGGAAGAGAAGAUAUUAGCUGUGUCUUUCUACCACCCAGAGGCUUCACCUCUAUCAUGCUUCUAAAAUAAAAUACCAGGUUGAUGUUCUGACCAUGGGCCAUAAACCAGGGUUAAGGAAGCCCAAGGAGACUGGUCUUCUUCCCAAGGCAUCCUCUCUUCUUUGUUAAGGACACUCCACAG